This 628-nucleotide ribosomal RNA is filed under the name uncultured bacterium. Its description in RNAcentral is "bacterial SSU rRNA". It matches the Rfam family "Bacterial small subunit ribosomal RNA", at positions 554 to 1182 of the family's 1533-position model. The record is from RNAcentral.
UUGGGCGUAAAGAGAGUGCAGGCGGUUUUCUAAGUCUGAUGUGAAAGCCUUCGGCUUAACCGGAGAAGUGCAUCGGAAACUGGAUAACUUGAGUGCAGAAGAGGGUAGUGGAACUCCAUGUGUAGCGGUGGAAUGCGUAGAUAUAUGGAAGAACACCAGUGGCGAAGGCGGCUACCUGGUCUGCAACUGACGCUGAGACUCGAAAGCAUGGGUAGCGAACAGGAUUAGAUACCCUGGUAGUCCAUGCCGUAAACGAUGAGUGCUAGGUGUUGGAGGGUUUCCGCCCUUCAGUGCCGGAGCUAACGCAUUAAGCACUCCGCCUGGGGAGUACGACCGCAAGGUUGAAACUCAAAGGAAUUGACGGGGGCCCGCACAAGCGGUGGAGCAUGUGGUUUAAUUCGAAGCUACGCGAAGAACCUUACCAGGUCUUGACAUCUUGCGCCAACCCUAGAGAUAGGGCGUUUCCUUCGGGAACGCAAUGACAGGUGGUGCAUGGUCGUCGUCAGCUCGUGUCGUGAGAUGUUGGGUUAAGUCCCGCAACGAGCGCAACCCUUGUUACUAGUUGCCAGCAUUAAGUUGGGCACUCUAGUGAGACUGCCGGUGACAAACCGGAGGAAGGUGGGGACGA